Molecule: ribosomal RNA, 504 nt
Filed under: Salmonella enterica subsp. enterica serovar Senftenberg
Lineage: Bacteria; Pseudomonadati; Pseudomonadota; Gammaproteobacteria; Enterobacterales; Enterobacteriaceae
Also listed under: 2 other names
Description: bacterial SSU rRNA
Rfam family: Bacterial small subunit ribosomal RNA
Source: RNAcentral
UUUGUGCCUUCGGGAACCGUGAGACAGGUGCUGCAUGGCUGUCGUCAGCUCGUGUUGUGAAAUGUUGGGUUAAGUCCCGCAACGAGCGCAACCCUUAUCCUUUGUUGCCAGCGGUCCGGCCGGGAACUCAAAGGAGACUGCCAGUGAUAAACUGGAGGAAGGUGGGGAUGACGUCAAGUCAUCAUGGCCCUUACGACCAGGGCUACACACGUGCUACAAUGGCGCAUACAAAGAGAAGCGACCUCGCGAGAGCAAGCGGACCUCAUAAAGUGCGUCGUAGUCCGGAUUGGAGUCUGCAACUCGACUCCAUGAAGUCGGAAUCGCUAGUAAUCGUGGAUCAGAAUGCCACGGUGAAUACGUUCCCGGGCCUUGUACACACCGCCCGUCACACCAUGGGAGUGGGUUGCAAAAGAAGUAGGUAGCUUAACCUUCGGGAGGGCGCUUACCACUUUGUGAUUCAUGACUGGGGUGAAGUCGUAACAAGGUAACCGUAGGGGAACCUGC